UUACUGUUCAGAGCACAGUCACAGUUAAAAGCACCAUUUUAACUAGUCCUUACACUGUUCUUUAAAAUACAGCCUUCUCCAGAUGUGCUGACCCCUACGAUUUCCCCAAAUGUGGGAAACUCGACUGCAUAAUUUGUGGUAUUGGGGGACUAUGUUUGUGCUCUCCCCAG
Small nuclear RNA from Molossus molossus (Pallas's mastiff bat), 170 nucleotides. RefSeq annotates it as U1 spliceosomal RNA. The transcript has a single exon. The record is from RefSeq and is a predicted model, not a curated record. Lineage: Eukaryota; Metazoa; Chordata; Mammalia; Chiroptera; Molossidae.